AGAGUUUGAUCCUGGCUCAGAUUGAACGCUGGCGGCAUGCCUUACACAUGCAAGUCGAACGGCAGCACGAGAGCUUGCUCUUGGUGGCGAGUGGCGAACGGGUGAGUAAUAUAUCGGAACGUACCCUAGAGUGGGGGAUAACGUAGCGAAAGUUACGCUAAUACCGCAUACGAUCUACGGAUGAAAGUGGAGGAUCGCAAGACCUCAUGCUCAUGGAGCGGCCGAUAUCUGAUUAGCUAGUUGGUGGGGUAUAAGCUCACCAAGGCGACGAUCAGUAGCUGGUCUGAGAGGACGACCAGCCACACUGGAACUGAGACACGGUCCAGACUCCUACGGGAGGCAGCAGUGGGGAAUUUUGGACAAUGGGCGCAGGCCUGAUCCAGCAAUGCCGCGUGAGUGAAGAAGGCCUUCGGGUUGUAAAGCUCUUUUGUCAGGGAAGAAACGGUGGACUCUAAUACAGAUCACUAAUGACGGUACCUGAAGAAUAAGCACCGGCUAACUACGUGCCAGCAGCCGCGGUAAUACGUAGGGUGCAAGCGUUAAUCGGAAUUACUGGGCGUAAAGCGUGCGCAGGCGGUUGUGCAAGACAGAUGUGAAAUCCCCGGGCUCAACCUGGGAAUUGCAUUUGUGACUGCACGGCUAGAGUGUGUCAGAGGGGGGUAGAAUUCCACGUGUAGCAGUGAAAUGCGUAGAGAUGUGGAGGAAUACCGAUGGCGAAGGCAGCCCCCUGGGAUAACACUGACGCUCAUGCACGAAAGCGUGGGGAGCAAACAGGAUUAGAUACCCUGGUAGUCCACGCCCUAAACGAUGUCUACUAGUUGUCGGGUCUUAAUUGACUUGGUAACGCAGCUAACGCGUGAAGUAGACCGCCUGGGGAGUACGGUCGCAAGAUUAAAACUCAAAGGAAUUGACGGGGACCCGCACAAGCGGUGGAUGAUGUGGAUUAAUUCGAUGCAACGCGAAAAACCUUACCUACCCUUGACAUGUCUGGAAUCCUUGAGAGAUCAGGGAGUGCUCGAAAGAGGAUCAGAACACAGGUGCUGCAUGGCUGUCGUCAGCUCGUGUCGUGAGAUGUUGGGUUAAGUCCCGCAACGAGCGCAACCCUUGUCAUUAGUUGCUACGAAAGGGCACUCUAAUGAGACUGCCGGUGACAAACCGGAGGAAGGUGGGGAUGACGUCAAGUCCUCAUGGCCCUUAUGGGUAGGGCUUCACACGUCAUACAAUGGUACAUACAGAGGGCCGCCAACCCGCGAGGGGGAGCUAAUCCCAGAAAGUGUAUCGUAGUCCGGAUUGUAGUCUGCAACUCGACUACAUGAAGUUGGAAUCGCUAGUAAUCGCGGAUCAGCAUGUCGCGGUGAAUACGUUCCCGGGUCUUGUACACACCGCCCGUCACACCAUGGGAGCGGGUUUCACCAGAAGUGGGUAGCCUAACCGCAAGGAGGGCGCUCACCACGGUGGGAUUCGUGACUGGGGUGAAGUCGUAACAAGGUA
This 1491-nucleotide ribosomal RNA is filed under the name metagenome. RNAcentral describes it as "bacterial SSU rRNA". It matches the Rfam family "Bacterial small subunit ribosomal RNA". The record is from RNAcentral.